CCUACGGGAGGCAGCAGUGGGGAAUAUUGGACAAUGGGGGGAACCCUGAUCCAGCCAUGCCGCGUGUGUGAAGAAGGCCCUCGGGUUGUAAAGCACUUUCAGUGAGGAAGAACGCCUGGUGGUUAAUACCCAUCAGGAAAGACAUCACUCACAGAAGAAGCACCGGCUAACUCCGUGCCAGCAGCCGCGGUAAUACGGAGGGUGCGAGCGUUAAUCGGAAUUACUGGGCGUAAAGCGCGCGUAGGUGGCUUGAUAAGCCGGUUGUGAAAGCCCCGGGCUCAACCUGGGAACGGCAUCCGGAACUGUCAAGCUAGAGUGCAGGAGAGGACGGUAGAAUUCCCGGUGUAGCGGUGAAAUGCGUAGAGAUCGGGAGGAAUACCAGUGGCGAAGGCGGCCUUCUGGACUGACACUGACACUGAGGUGCGAAAGCGUGGGUAGCAAACAGGAUUAGAUACCCCGGUAGUC
This 465-nucleotide ribosomal RNA is filed under the name Vreelandella stevensii. RNAcentral's name for it is "partial 16S ribosomal RNA". It matches the Rfam family "Bacterial small subunit ribosomal RNA", at positions 338 to 795 of the family's 1533-position model. The record is from RNAcentral. Lineage: Bacteria; Pseudomonadati; Pseudomonadota; Gammaproteobacteria; Oceanospirillales; Halomonadaceae.